RNAcentral lists this ribosomal RNA (253 nucleotides) under uncultured bacterium. RNAcentral describes it as "partial 16S ribosomal RNA". It matches the Rfam family "Bacterial small subunit ribosomal RNA", at positions 524 to 776 of the family's 1533-position model. The record is from RNAcentral.
UACAGAGGGUGCGAGCGUUAAUCGGAAUUACUGGGCGUAAAGCGCGCGUAGGCGGCUUUGCAAGUCGGGUGUGGAAUCCCCAGGCUCAACCUGGGAACUGCAUUCGAGACUGCAUUGCUAGAGUAUGGGAGAGGGAAGUGGAAUUUCCGGUGUAGCGGUGAAAUGCGUAGAUAUCGGAAGGAACAUCAGUGGCGAAAGCGACUUCCUGGACCAAUACUGACGCUCAUGUGCGAAAGCGUGGGGAGCAAACAGG